UGGGUUGUACCAGAAGUAGAUAGCUUAACCUUCGGGAGGGCGUUUACCACGGUAUGAUUCAUGACUGGGGUGAAGUCGUAACAAGGUAACCGUAGGGGAACCUGCGGUUGGAUCACCUCCUUACCUAAUAGAA
Molecule: ribosomal RNA, 133 nt
Filed under: Avibacterium paragallinarum
Lineage: Bacteria; Pseudomonadati; Pseudomonadota; Gammaproteobacteria; Pasteurellales; Pasteurellaceae
Description: partial 16S ribosomal RNA
Rfam family: Bacterial small subunit ribosomal RNA
Source: RNAcentral